GCUUUCUUCACUUCUAGAAAAAUAUGCUCUUGGAAAAGGAAUCAUUAACCUUAAUCACUCUAGGCCUACAGAUACGCUGAGUCUGCCAAGCAGAAAACCAACCACCCAACCAAGGCUUCUCG
RNAcentral lists this long non-coding RNA (122 nucleotides) under Mustela putorius furo (domestic ferret). Its description in RNAcentral is "lncRNA (ENSMPUG00000031080.1)". Lineage: Eukaryota; Metazoa; Chordata; Mammalia; Carnivora; Mustelidae. The record is from RNAcentral.